Molecule: small RNA, 30 nt
Filed under: Bombyx mori (domestic silkworm)
Lineage: Eukaryota; Metazoa; Arthropoda; Insecta; Lepidoptera; Bombycidae
Description: ovarian small RNA-26273
Source: RNAcentral
UCAUGUACGCGACUGGAUGCUGGCGUCCUU